Transfer RNA from Neotoma lepida (desert woodrat), 70 nucleotides. It matches the Rfam family "tRNA". From Rfam's summary of the family: Transfer RNA (tRNA) molecules are approximately 80 nucleotides in length. NCBI's taxonomy places the organism in Eukaryota, Metazoa, Chordata, Mammalia, Rodentia, Cricetidae. The record is from Rfam.
GGAGAGAUGGCUCAGCAGUUAAGAGCACUGGUUACUCUUCCAGAGGACCUGGGUUCAAUUCCCAGCCCCA